AAUCUUUUUUUGACCAUGACCCCUGACCCUGUUCCACCAUUGCCCAACCCCCAGAGGGGGACUGUUCCCUUAGCACCUUAUAUCAUUCACCUCUGCCACUUAUCACAGCCUUUAACUAUAUAUUUGGGUAAUUUUUCUUACCUAGGUCUCCACCACCAGAUGGAAAACACAGGCGCUAUAACGGCAUCUAUUCCGUUCACCUCUGUUCUCUUUAGAGCUUGGUGGGGCACAAACAAGGCAACGACUGCCGAACACAUGAUCCCACAGGAAUCAAAAGCCAUCUCUAUUUUUAUUUUAACAUUUUUCAAAGCCUUCCCCUAAUUUUAAAAAUUUUACCUGAGUGGCCUUCGAAGAGAUACACCAUUUAAUAUGGAUCUAAGGUGAUGAAUCUCAAACAUGGCAGCAUAUCUUUCAAAAUAUACAGAAGUCUAGCACCCAUACCCAGAGAGAUUUUGCUUUUCGUUCUUGUUGUUGUUUGUUUGCCGAGCCAGUGGCAUGAGGAAGUUCCCGAGCCAGUGAUCCAACCUGCACCACAGCUAUAGCCAGAGCCACAGCAGUGACAACGCCAGAUCCUUAACCUGCUGAGCCAUAAGGGAACUCCAGGUGCCUGUAUUUUUGAAAAAUUCCCCCAUCUAACUCUCCUAAGCAACAAGGAUUGAAAACACUGGCCUGUGGGGUUCAAAUAGACUCAAGAUUCGGAACUGGACCACGGAGUAGAUAUGGGGGGUGCAGUCUAGAAAGCCCACCUAACUUGAAGAGGAAGCUCAGCCGUCAGACAUCUGGGAUCGAGGACAAGGUUCCAGCCCUCAAAUAUGGGACAAAUAAGAUCCAGGCACUUAUCAGCACUCUUACCAAACCACAGAAAAAGCAGAAACCAGGGCAAAGGCCUAGACUUGCAGACCAGCUGACCAUCACAAGGGGGGAUGGGAAGCCAGCUAACAGGGGAGGCCAGCUAACAGGGGAGACCAUGGCGCAUGCACACGUGUCCUGAACUCAGGCUCAGCCAAACCGGCCCCAGGCGGCCAGAGCAAGUGCAGCGCCCACCUGCUCUCAAGGACGGGUCCUGGUGAACUGCCAGUGCCCUCUGCUUUGGCUCAAGCCCAGGAUUUGUCUGACACAUCAGCUUGAAAUUCUUCAGGCCCUAAAGCCUGUUGAAUCUGGGGACAGCUUAAUUACGGCCAGAGAAAUUCCUCUAUAAUUUUUGAGCCCAUUUAGAGUUUGAUGCUUAGAAAGCAAACUCUUUAUUUGUUCCAAGCUAGAGUGUUAAAAGCCCCCAGCAGACAAAAGAGCCAUUGAUGAGCCCAGCCCUCUUUCUCUCUCCCUCCAGUCUUCUGGGCUUCAUUGGUCAGCUCAACGUGUUGGUUGUUUUUGUCUGUUUGUGUUUUGUCCUCGUUUUCAGAGUUGGGCCUGUGCCCCAAGAAAAAGACAAGAUUGACAACUUGAAAAGAGAAUGGCCCUCUCCCUGCCCCAAUCUGGAAGGGCCAGCAUCUCCUUGGCAAUCAGCCAGCCUGAUUUAAUGUCCUCCCUAAUGAUGGGAAAGGGCUGAUGAUUAAAAACCUGCAGACAAGACCCCGUCAGGGGAUGUGGCCAACCCAAAGGAACUCCAGUAGCAGCACAAAAGGGGCUACCAGUCGCUGGCACCCCAGCUGGUGCACAUCAGUGGGGUCAGGUUUGCCGUUAGGCUGAACUCCCCUUACCCACAGCAGGCAUCAGCCACUGGACACUGGGGUGCGGGCCUGGGGAGGCACUUGCAGUAAAACGGAGCUGAAUCCUAGAGAGGAUGGCCAGUAGGGAAGAGCCAGAGCCCCAGUGAAGCAACUGGGUGGCAAAGGGACCCAGCAAAGAGGGGUUGCUGGGGAACUGUAUUCCUUACUCAGCAGACAGACAGACUGCAGGCAGAGGGAAGGCAGGCAGGGGAGCAGACCUCCAUGUCCACACAGAGAUAAAGGCAGUGUUCCAAAUGGAGGAGGGGAGAUUCCUGUCAUGGCUCAGCGGUAACGAACCCAACUAGGAUCCAUGAGGACUUAGGUUCAAUCCCUGGCCUCGCUCAGUGAGUUAAAGGACCCAGUGUUGUGCUCAGCUGUGGUGGAGUUCACAUACACAGCCCAGAUUCCACACGGCUGUGGCUGUGGUGUAAGCUAGCUGCUGCAGCUCUGAUUUGACCCCUAGGCUGAGAUGUUCCAUGUGCCAUGGGUGCAGCCCUUAAAAGACCAAAAAAAAAGUGGGGGGGUACGGGGGUGGGGGGUACCAAGGUCAGGAGCCCCAAGCAAGCCACAUACCUGGUCAGAUUGGGCAGAAUGAAUGAAUUGAAAUUGGCCUUGGUCCAUCAGAAGCUACCUCCAAGAGUCACCUUGGAAGGCAACUGUGGAGAAUGGAAAUAUUUGAUUGACAGGUCCCAACCCAAGGCAGAGCCUUGCUUGCAGGUCCUGGCAUAAUUCCUCAUGGUCUAAUGAGGUUUAUAAUUUUAUUGAUUUAAAAGGAACAAGCUGCAAUUCACUCUCCCUGAGCACUGCUGCGGGGCUGCUGGCCCAGCAAGAAGGUGACAGCAUGUGUAGGCUGGGGGUAAGGAUGCUAGGAGCCAGCCUCCUAAAGAUGCUUAACCUGCUGGGCCUUGUCCCCUCCUUACGCAGAGCAGAGGUUUGACUGAGAUUAUCCUGUAGCUCCUGGAUAGCUGGAGGAGAAAACAUUCCUAUUGGUACUACUGAUGAGACCUUCCUUUCUCUUUUCUCUUUUAUGGCUUUUUACCCUUUGUAAGCUGCCUCCGAAGUUCAUUUCCCUGAUUAAACCCUAUUUCCCCCAAAUAAAGUGUGAACAAACUUGUGAGAGGAGCACAGCAGAGUCUGACUUAGACACAACCCUGACUCUCAAAAAAAUCCCACGGGAAUUUGCACUGUGGUGCAAUGGGUUAAGAAUCCAACUGCAGCAGUUUGAGUCACUGUGGAGGCACAGAUUUGAUCUCUGCCCCUGCACAGUGGGUUAAAGGAUCCAGUGUUGCCAUAGGUCACAGCUGCAGCUCAGAUUCAAUC
This 3026-nucleotide long non-coding RNA is filed under the name Sus scrofa (pig). RNAcentral's name for it is "lncRNA (ENSSSCG00000055664.1)". Lineage: Eukaryota; Metazoa; Chordata; Mammalia; Artiodactyla; Suidae. The record is from RNAcentral.